CUUGCUGCUUCGCUGACGAGUGGCGGACGGGUGAGUAAUGUCUGGGAAACUGCCUGAUGGAGGGGGAUAACUACUGGAAACGGUGGCUAAUACCGCAUAACGUCGCAAGACCAAAGAGGGGGACCUUCGGGCCUCUUGCCAUCAGAUGUGCCCAGAUGGGAUUAGCUUGUUGGUGAGGUAACGGCUCACCAAGGCGACGAUCCCUAGCUGGUCUGAGAGGAUGACCAGCCACACUGGAACUGAGACACGGUCCAGACUCCUACGGGAGGCAGCAGUGGGGAAUAUUGCACAAUGGGCGCAAGCCUGAUGCAGCCAUGCCGCGUGUAUGAAGAAGGCCUUCGGGUUGUAAAGUACUUUCAGCGGGGAGGAAGGUGUUGUGGUUAAUAACCGCAGCAAUUGACGUUACCCGCAGAAGAAGCACCGGCUAACUCCGUGCCAGCAGCCGCGGUAAUACGGAGGGUGCAAGCGUUAAUCGGAAUUACUGGGCGUAAAGCGCACGCAGGCGGUCUGUCAAGUCGGAUGUGAAAUCCCCGGGCUCAACCUGGGAACUGCAUUCGAAACUGGCAGGCUUGAGUCUUGUAGAGGGGGGUAGAAUUCCAGGUGUAGCGGUGAAAUGCGUAGAGAUCUGGAGGAAUACCGGUGGCGAAGGCGGCCCCCUGGACAAAGACUGACGCUCAGGUGCGAAAGCGUGGGGAGCAAACAGGAUUAGAUACCCUGGUAGUCCACGCCGUAAACGAUGUCUACUUGGAGGUUGUGCCCUUGAGGCGUGGCUUCCGGAGCUAACGCGUUAAGUAGACCGCCUGGGGAGUACGGCCGCAAGGUUAAAACUCAAAUGAAUUGACGGGGGCCCGCACAAGCGGUGGAGCAUGUGGUUUAAUUCGAUGCAACGCGAAGAACCUUACCUGGUCUUGACAUCCACAGAAGAAUCCAGAGAUGGAUUUGUGCCUUCGGGAACUGUGAGACAGGUGCUGCAUGGCUGUCGUCAGCUCGUGUUGUGAAAUGUUGGGUUAAGUCCCGCAACGAGCGCAACCCUUAUCCUUUGUUGCCAGCGGUUAGGCCGGGAACUCAAAGGAGACUGCCAGUGAUAAACUGGAGGAAGGUGGGGAUGACGUCAAGUCAUCAUGGCCCUUACGACCAGGGCUACACACGUGCUACAAUGGCGCAUACAAAGAGAAGCGACCUCGCGAGAGCAAGCGGACCUCAUAAAGUGCGUCGUAGUCCGGAUUGGAGUCUGCAACUCGACUCCAUGAAGUCGGAAUCGCUAGUAAUCGUGGAUCAGAAUGCCACGGUGAAUACGUUCCCGGGCCUUGUACACACCGCCCGUCACACCAUGGGAGUGGGUUGCAAAAGAAGUAGGUAGCUUAACCUUCGGGAGGGCGCUUACCACUUUGUGAUUCAUGACUGGGGUGAAGUCGUAACAAGGUAACCGUAGGGGAACCUGCGGUUGGAUCACCUCCUUACCUUAAAGAA
RNAcentral lists this ribosomal RNA (1470 nucleotides) under Salmonella enterica subsp. enterica serovar Enteritidis. Its description in RNAcentral is "bacterial SSU rRNA". It matches the Rfam family "Bacterial small subunit ribosomal RNA". The record is from RNAcentral. Lineage: Bacteria; Pseudomonadati; Pseudomonadota; Gammaproteobacteria; Enterobacterales; Enterobacteriaceae.